Molecule: long non-coding RNA, 1016 nt
Filed under: Mus musculus (house mouse)
Lineage: Eukaryota; Metazoa; Chordata; Mammalia; Rodentia; Muridae
Description: Hand2 downstream lncRNA
Source: RNAcentral
GUCUCGACUCCAGCCAGCUUAGUUCUUUGGAGAAGCAGUGUGGAGUCCUAAAAAAGGAGGCUGAGUCUUACCGUUGAGGUCGGUGCCGGUAGAGAAUGGGAGGGAGUCUGCAGGAGCCAAGCACCCUAAAGAAGAGGAAGAGAGCACGUUGCUGAGAUUUGAACAGCGACCUGAGAGGUCAGACUGGACCCAGGCCUCCUCAAGAAGCAACGGAGAUGGAGAUUCUUCCCUUUUCCCGGCCCUUCGGUCCUUCUCCGGAAGAGCUACUCUGGCCAGCUCUGGGCUAGGGGCAGUGGCCGAAGAGAAGGGGAAAGUUUUUAGGUUUUUGCCUGUUGCUCUUAGGGAUCCAGGGGCAGAGUUUUGCCUUAGGUGCUGAAGACAGCUGCUGGAGCCUGUUGCUUUUUCACACCACAGAUACUUCAUGCUGCCUAAUAUUCUACCGAGCCAGCCUAGGGGACUUGGAUCUGUCUCGCCUGGGGCUAAGAGAAUAGUUUCUCUAAGAAGAAAACAGUUCUAAUUCAAAGAUGCUGGAUCUGGCUUCCUUUAAAGCCUGAAGUCGCUGAAGUGGCCAUAGAACUAUGGGGUCCAGAGGACUGCCAGUCUCAGCCAGCCUUUAGGCUGGAGAGAGGCUGUGGGCCUGCUUGGGGACUAAAAUGGAUGAAUAAGAAACCUGUAAGAAAUGUAAACAGAUGGAAUGGCAAGGAGGAGAGCGCUGGAGAUUGUUCAGGAGGAAUUCCACCCGGCUCUGGGGCGUGCGUCCGACAAGCCCCUAGGGGGAGAAAGGAGAAGGGUGAAGGCCGGGCUAGUAGUCGCUGCCCGCUGGGCAGCAUCUGGAGGCCCGUGCGGGAUGCAGGCGAGGGGGAUGGAGCGGCGCCGCUGGAGGAAAUUGGCUUCCCAUGGGACCUGCAACUGUCUGGAAACAAAAAAAGAAGCCUACCAAAAGGGGAAAUUUAAAGGAGAGCAAGAAACCAUGAAGAGAGAGCCGAAAACGCGAAAGUAAAGAGUUGCCCAACUUA